RNAcentral lists this long non-coding RNA (697 nucleotides) under Musa acuminata (dwarf banana). Its description in RNAcentral is "long non-coding RNA (MACU_LNC010111)". Lineage: Eukaryota; Viridiplantae; Streptophyta; Magnoliopsida; Zingiberales; Musaceae. The record is from RNAcentral.
UCACCCCCAAAACGAACUAAGCCGCCCGAACACAAUAAUCUGUUUUCGGCUUCUUUCUUCCCGCAGCUUCCUCACCUAUUACUUGUUUGUUCUUUCGACCGCUCCUUGUAUACGAGGUUAGAGUUUUGUUGUGGUUCUUUCUCUUGCAACUGUCUACUGCGAUACUUCGAGCAAUUUAUGUGUAAGGGGGCCUUAGGAGAAUAGUACUCCAUUCUUGUUAUUGUCCGUUGCUUCUUCUGUUUUACUAGUGGUAAAUACUUGUCUCUUACGCUUGUUUGUUCAAUUGUUCAUCUAGCGCUGGGGUAAGGAACCUCGUCUACUCCUAGCAUCUUUGCAGGUUGGUUCUAUACCGCUUGUUUGCUUUAGUUCACUUGUAGAACUCCGCUAGGCAUAAUCGAAUUGAGACCUGUUCCGUUGCUUUUUGCAGUCUUACUCAUUCUGUUACUUGUUCGUUUCGUUCGUCACCCCGUUAGCGCUACACGUUAAGCUCCGUAAGCAGGUUUCGUUUCUUGUUCCCCACCCAUAAGCAUUAGCACAAGUAUAAGCCAUAAUCUAAGGUAAUCUUGCAUAUACAGGGGUAGGUAAUCCUCAAUAAAGAUGAUUUUCUUCCCUGUUCCGCGUAGCCAGGAAUUGAUUCUGCCCUUCGCCCUACCCUCACUUGAGACUUGACCCCCCAUCUGUUGAGAAAAGAGCUUAU